Molecule: ribosomal RNA, 274 nt
Filed under: Terriglobia bacterium
Lineage: Bacteria; Pseudomonadati; Acidobacteriota; Terriglobia
Description: partial 16S ribosomal RNA
Rfam family: Bacterial small subunit ribosomal RNA
Source: RNAcentral
UCAAAUGAGAGUUUGAUCCUGGCUCAGAAUCAACGCUGGCGGCGUGCCUAACACAUGCAAGUCGAACGAGAAAGGGGAGCAAUCCCUGAGUAAAGUGGCGACCGGGUGAGUAACACGUGACUACCUACCCUUGAGUGGGGGGUCCGAUUCAGUGUCCUUCCACUCGAACAGCGUCGCCUCCAGCCCCUCGCUCAACGCCUCGCCGGGCAGAAGGCACAGGACCCAAUCGUGAAGCGUGUCGACGGCGUACGCACCCGGCUCGACGCCCACGAUC